GGCAUGAAACCUGACACUUCACAAUAUCCUGGAAAGUUCUGCAACCUCCGGCAAGCUGUUGGAGAAACCUUCUCCAGUGUGAGAUUCAGGUUGAGCUGGUGUGGUGAAUCUGGGCUUGAUCUAGCUGGUACAAACAUCCACGGUUGCCCAUCUAGUGGAGGAUGGGGGAAGAGUUCCCAAUAUCCAGCAAGCAAGGAUGAGAAUUUGCUCAGAUACUGACCAGCUGAGACCAAAGGUUGAGGGAUUCUGUACCUGCCCUGGAUCAGAUGGACAAAUACGGAAGGAAGCAUUGUCUUCUCCACAGCUGCCAUAGUGCAUGUUCUUGGUGAUGUCAUAGAAUUGCUGCUUACCUGGCUUUUUAGACCUCCUAUCCCCAGCCCAUAUAUGUAUUGUCACGUUGUUACAAUUUGGGAAGGUGUGCCCGAAGUUCACAACCGAGACUGAUGUCUUGAAAAGUGCUUGAUCUUUCCCUGUGU
Molecule: long non-coding RNA, 476 nt
Organism: Tupaia belangeri chinensis (Chinese tree shrew)
Lineage: Eukaryota; Metazoa; Chordata; Mammalia; Scandentia; Tupaiidae
Exons: 3
Source: RefSeq, a predicted model, not a curated record